Molecule: transfer RNA, 37 nt
Filed under: Aneura pinguis
Lineage: Eukaryota; Viridiplantae; Streptophyta; Jungermanniopsida; Metzgeriales; Aneuraceae
Also listed under: 2 other names
Description: partial transfer RNA-Phe
Source: RNAcentral
CCGGGAUAGCUCAGUUGGUAGAGCAGAGGAUUGAAAA